GCAGACUGAUGACCCAGCAAGACAGCUCUGAGGUAUGACAGGCCAGAAUGAAGGGUGAGAAGCAAUCUACCCAAGUGGGGACAAAAUAAAAUAAGAGCCAGCUGAAAUGCUUCUUGCAAUUCAGGCUACAUCAAGGGCUGGAGGAAGGCCGGGCUGGACUUCGGGUGGGUGAGAGCGCACAGGGGGCGGCCCAGGAGCUGAGGGCAUCAGGCGGCCACGGCCAGUCCCAGUCCCGCCUGCAGCAGCCAGCAGCGUGGGGAGCGCCUCGUCCAGUCUCCCCGCAGCCGGGAAGCGGCUCUCUCUGGAAUCCUUGCAAACGGGCCAACCUGCCAGGGUCGGAUGUUCCUCCCUCCUCGGCCAUGGGCCCGGGCGUGUCCUCCGGGCUCUGUGUGCGAUAUCACGGCGCCUUCCCCAGGGCGCCCGGCGCAGUGACUGUGGCCCCCCCACUUCAUGCAGAAGGAAGCCAAAGCCAGAGAGGUCAGGGCCCGCCCACCCGCCCUGUGUUGGGGCUGCAGGGC
This 518-nucleotide long non-coding RNA is filed under the name Vulpes vulpes (red fox). RNAcentral's name for it is "lncRNA (ENSVVUG00000024892.1)". Lineage: Eukaryota; Metazoa; Chordata; Mammalia; Carnivora; Canidae. The record is from RNAcentral.